Molecule: ribosomal RNA, 347 nt
Filed under: uncultured bacterium
Lineage: Bacteria
Description: bacterial SSU rRNA
Rfam family: Bacterial small subunit ribosomal RNA
Source: RNAcentral
GGGUUUAAAGUGCGCGUAGGUGGUUAAUUAAGUCAGAUGUGAAAUCCCCGGGCUUAACCUGGGAAUUGCAUUUGAAACUGAUUGGCUAGAGUACGGGAGAGGGAAGUGGAAUUUCCGGUGUAGCGGUGAAAUGCGUAGAUAUCGGAAGGAACACCAGUGGCGAAGGCGACUUCCUGGCCCGUUACUGACACUGAGGCGCGAAAGCGUGGGGAGCGAACAGGAUUAGAUACCCUGGUAGUCCACGCCGUAAACGAUGAGAACUAGAUGUUAGGUGGCUUAGACCAUUUAGUAUCGCAGCAAACGCGUUAAGUUCUCCGCCUGGGGAGUACGGUCGCAAGAUUAAAACU